GAUGAACGCUGGCGGCGUGCCUAAUACAUGCAAGUCGAGCGAACAGAUGAGGAGCUUGCUCCUCUGACGUUAGCGGCGGACGGGUGAGUAACACGUGGAUAACCUACCUAUAAGACUGGGAUAACUUCGGGAAACCGGAGCUAAUACCGGAUAAUAUAUUGAACCGCAUGGUUCAAUAGUGAAAGACGGUUUUGCUGUCACUUAUAGAUGGAUCCGCGCCGCAUUAGCUAGUUGGUAAGGUAACGGCUUACCAAGGCAACGAUGCGUAGCCGACCUGAGAGGGUGAUCGGCCACACUGGAACUGAGACACGGUCCAGACUCCUACGGGAGGCAGCAGUGGGGAAUCUUCCGCAAUGGGCGAAAGCCUGACGGAGCAACGCCGCGUGAGUGAUGAAGUUCUUCGGAUCGUAAAACUCUGUUAUUAGGGAAGAACAAAUGUGUAAGUAACUAUGCACGUCUUGACGGUACCUAAUCAGAAAGCUACGGCUAACUACGUG
RNAcentral lists this ribosomal RNA (497 nucleotides) under uncultured bacterium. RNAcentral's name for it is "partial 16S ribosomal RNA". It matches the Rfam family "Bacterial small subunit ribosomal RNA", at positions 28 to 507 of the family's 1533-position model. The record is from RNAcentral.